CACAAACGACCAAUGCCAAGUUGUUUGGUAAAAGAAUUAAACAAACAAAUCCGUUAGGAUUCACAUCAAAAAACUUUUGGUAACAGCCUAAUGGAAUUUCAAGAUAAAUCCACUGGGGCGUAACACCUUAAAUCUGGCUCGAGUCUCUUCCAAAUAUGAACCGUCUUACCCAGUCAGAGAGAACCAAUGCCCUUGUACGCCAACUGACUUGUUUGCUAGCAUACACAGAAUACCAUAGCCACUGACUGCUAUGACCAAUUGAAACCCGAUCUCCUGGAAGUUGUGCUGCUGUUUGCUCUCCUCCCAAAGGUGCAAACUGUCCCAAAUGUCGGUACCUGAAUGGG
RNAcentral lists this unclassified non-coding RNA (344 nucleotides) under Hevea brasiliensis (rubber tree). Lineage: Eukaryota; Viridiplantae; Streptophyta; Magnoliopsida; Malpighiales; Euphorbiaceae. The record is from RNAcentral.